CCUACGGGUGGCAGCAGUGAGGAAUAUUGGUCAAUGGGCGAGAGCCUGAACCAGCCAAGUCGCGUGAGGGAGUACUGCCCUAUGGGUUGUAAACCUCUUUUGUCGGGGAGCAAAAGCCGGACGUGUCCGGCUGUGAGAGUACACGAAGAAAAAGAGUCGGCUAAAUCCGUGACAGCAGCCGCGGUAAUACGGAGGAUGCGAGCGUUAUCCGGAUUUAUUGGGUUUAAAGGGUGCGCAGGCGGAUUUUUAAGUCAGCGGUAAAAUCGUGGGGCUCAACCCCAUCCAGCCGUUGAAACUGGGGAUCUAGAGUGUGCGAGAGGUAUGCGGAAUGCGUGGUGUAGCGGUGAAAUGCAUAGAUAUCACGCAGAACCCCGAUUGCGAAGGCAGCAUACCGGUGCACAACUGACGCUCAGGCACGAAAGCGUGGGUAUCGAACAGGAUUAGAUACCCGGGUAGUC
This 458-nucleotide ribosomal RNA is filed under the name uncultured bacterium. RNAcentral describes it as "partial 16S ribosomal RNA". It matches the Rfam family "Bacterial small subunit ribosomal RNA", at positions 338 to 795 of the family's 1533-position model. The record is from RNAcentral.